GCCCCUUUGGCGCAAUGGAUAGCGCGUAGCACUUCUAAUGCUAAGGUUGCGAGUUCGAGUCUCGCAAGGGGUA
Molecule: transfer RNA, 73 nt
Filed under: Methanobacteriota archaeon
Lineage: Archaea; Methanobacteriati; Methanobacteriota
Description: Euryarchaeota archaeon tRNA-Arg
Rfam family: tRNA
About the family: Transfer RNA (tRNA) molecules are approximately 80 nucleotides in length.
Source: RNAcentral